RNAcentral lists this microRNA precursor (145 nucleotides) under Choloepus hoffmanni (Hoffmann's two-fingered sloth). RNAcentral describes it as "miRNA (ENSCHOG00000014425.1)". Lineage: Eukaryota; Metazoa; Chordata; Mammalia; Pilosa; Megalonychidae. The record is from RNAcentral.
CAGAAUGCACAGAUAAAUUUGAAUUUCAGAUAAAUAAUGAAUACUUUUAAAAUAUAAACACAUCCCAUGCAAUAUUUGGGACAUAUUUAUACUAAAAAUUUAUUCUUUGUUUACCUGAAAUUCAGAUUUAUUUGUGUGUCCUGUA